GCACUGCCGAGGAGUCCCACAAUAGGACGAAACGGCCGUCCAGUAC
Molecule: non-coding RNA, 46 nt
Organism: Schistosoma curassoni
Lineage: Eukaryota; Metazoa; Platyhelminthes; Trematoda; Strigeidida; Schistosomatidae
Source: Rfam